Molecule: non-coding RNA, 393 nt
Organism: Chelonoidis abingdonii (Abingdon island giant tortoise)
Lineage: Eukaryota; Metazoa; Chordata; Testudines; Testudinidae
Source: RefSeq, a predicted model, not a curated record
AAAUCGGGAGGGAUGGGGUCUGCGGUCGAAAACACUGACGAUCUGCUUCCUGGUCCAUGGGGUUGCAAAUGGGGAGGGAUGGAGUUUGUGGUCGAAAACACUCACGAUCUGCUUCCUCCUGGCUAAUGUGCCAAACUGACCUAUUGGAUGAUUGAGGCACGCUCUUUUCCUUGAUUGUGUGUGAAUACGUGAAAAGGGAGGUAAGGUUUGGGGGUAUGGAGCACGCCUAUGAUGACACCACUUUCAUUUUUUAAAAUUACUUUUACAAUUUUAUAGUUUGCAUUCUAUAUAUGGACAGAAAUACAGAGAAUAAUUUAUUUAACAUCAAAAACAUUUAUUAUAAUCUGAUAUAUACAUAAAAAUAUAUUUCUUUGGCUUGCAUCAUGUUUUGAA